Long non-coding RNA from Salvelinus sp. IW2-2015, 639 nucleotides. RefSeq lists it as uncharacterized. Lineage: Eukaryota; Metazoa; Chordata; Actinopteri; Salmoniformes; Salmonidae. The record is from RefSeq and is a predicted model, not a curated record.
UUCUCUGUCAAAUGGCACAUCCUGCUCUCUGCUACCACGAAUAUUUGAAAGAUCCGUUGGAUUUACUCAUAUUUUCAUCAUGGACAACACGCUAAGUGUAGCUACAGCUUUCAAUAACAGUGUCGUCCUGAAUACAGCUGCUGGUAUCGACACAGCUCUGUCAUCUGUGGCAAAAGCAGUCUGGACUGGUUGAAGCCGAGUGGGAAGGAUUAUUUUGGGAGUGUUUCAGUCAGCUGUGAAUCAUCAUAAUCCAUACACAGCAUAAACCUGCUCGCUGCCACCAGUACAAGGAGAUGAUCGAGGGGGAACAAGCAAUGCUUCAGCUUGUAUUGUCUGAGGCCUGGUGUUGUGGCCAAGGAGCUUUCACUCAGAUGGAACCUGCAGUGUUGACAUCCUUCCUGCUAGAGAUGUGAAAGCAUCCCCGGGACUGGACACGGCAAACAUAUAUUUCUGAAGAUCAGGACUUUUGCAAUGAGAAUGCCAUGGAUAUUACAUGUCCUGCUCCAAAGGGCAGUAUAGAAAUAUGCUCUCAGGCUAGAUUCCUUUGUUCGUAUCAUAUCACUGAAAGGAUCUUAUGAUAUAGGCCUAUGUCUAGAUAGUAUUUUUCCUCAUUGUACUGUAGGCUACUACCUUUAGCAC